Molecule: ribosomal RNA, 467 nt
Filed under: uncultured bacterium
Lineage: Bacteria
Description: partial 16S ribosomal RNA
Rfam family: Bacterial small subunit ribosomal RNA
Source: RNAcentral
GACGAACGCUGGCGGCGUGCUUAACACAUGCAAGUCGAACGGAAAGGCCCUGCUUUUGUGGGGUGCUCGAGUGGCGAACGGGUGAGUAACACGUGAGUAACCUGCCCUUGACUUUGGGAUAACUUCAGGAAACUGGGGCUAAUACCGGAUAGGAGCUCCUGCUGCAUGGUGGGGGUUGGAAAGUUUCGGCGGUUGGGGAUGGACUCGCGGCUUAUCAGCUUGUUGGUGGGGUAGUGGCUUACCAAGGCUUUGACGGGUAGCCGGCCUGGGAGGGUGACCGGGCACAUUGGCCUUGGGGAGGGGCCCAGGCCCCAAGGGGGGGAAGGGGUGGGGAAUUUUGCCAAAAGGGCGGAGGCCUGAUGGAGCACCGCCGGGUGGGGGAGGACGGUCUGCGGGUUGGAAACCGCUUUUGCCGGUAACGAGGUGUGAGGGCGGGAAAGGGGUAAAAAACACCGGGUAAAUUCGUU